This 1947-nucleotide ribosomal RNA is filed under the name human gut metagenome. Its description in RNAcentral is "bacterial LSU rRNA". It matches the Rfam family "Bacterial large subunit ribosomal RNA", at positions 3 to 1983 of the family's 2925-position model. The record is from RNAcentral.
UCAAGCAAGAAAGAGCGCAGGGUGGAUGCCUUGGCACUAAGAGCCGAAGAAAGACGUGAUAAGCUGCGAAAAGCUGCGGGGAGGAGCAAAUAUCCAUUGACCCGCAGAUAUCUGAAUGGGGAAACCCGGCUGAGCAAACCUCAGUCAUCCAUACGCCAAUACAUAACGUAUGGAGGGGAACCCGGGGAACUGAAACAUCUAAGUACCCGGAGGAAGAGAAAGAAACAUCGAUUUCCUAAGUAGCGGCGAGCGAAAGGGAAAGAGCCUAAACCGGAGCGCGUGCGUUCCGGGGUCAUGGACUGCAUAAGUGAGUCAGAAGCUAGAAGAAAGGUUUUGGGAAAGCCUGCCAGAGAGAGUGAAAGCCUCGUAUUUGAAAGCGGAAGACAGCGGCAGUAUCCGGAGUACCACGAGACACGAGAAACCUUGUGGGAAGUCGGGGGGACCACCCCCCAAGGCUAAAUACUACUUAGUGACCGAUAGCGCAUAGUACUGUGAAGGAAAGGUGAAAAGAACCCCGGGAGGGGAGUGAAAGAGAACCUGAAACCCUGUGUCUACAAGCUGUGGAAGCACCCUACGAGUGCAACCGCGUACUUUUUGUAGAACGGUCCGGCGAGUUAUGUGGUGUGGCAAGGUUAAGCACGGAAAGUGUGGAGCCGAAGGGAAACCAAGUCUUAACUGGGCGGUUAAGUCACAUAACAUAGACCCGAAACCGGGUGAUCUAUCCAUGUCCAGGUUGAAGCUGCUGUAAAAGGUGGUGGAGGACCGAACGCACAUCCGUUGAAAAGGGUGGCGAUGAGGUGUGGAUAGGGGAGAAAUUCCAAUCGAACCCGGAGAUAGCUGGUUCUCCUCGAAAUAGCUUUAGGGCUAGCCUCGUUUUAGUCUUAUGGAGGUAGAGCACUGAAUUUCCGCGGGGGCGUCAAAGCUUACCAAAGAAUAUCAAACUCCGAAUGCCAUGUAGAUGAUGAACGGGAGUCAGACUGCACGAGAUAAGUUGGGCGGUCAAAAGGGAAAGAGCCCAGACCACCGGCUAAGGUCCCAAAGUGUGUGUUAAGUGGAAAAGGAUGUGGGAAUUCGAAGACAACUAGGAUGUUGGCUCAGAAGCAGCCAUACAUUCAAAGAGUGCGUAACAGCUCACUAGUCGAGAGUCCCUGCGCCGAAAAUGUCCGGGGCUGAAACACAACACCGAAGCCGUGGACUCCGUAAGGAGUGGUAGAGGAGCAUUCUUAAAACCGACGAAGCUGUACCGGUAAGGAGCAGUGGAGGGAUAAGAAGAGAGAAUGCCGGAAUGAGUAGCGAGAGGAAGGUGGGAAUCCUUCCGGCCGAAUAUCUAAGGUUUCCAGAGUAAAGCUGAUCUGCUCUGGGUAAGUCGGGGCCUAAGGAGAGGUCGCAAGACGUAUCCGAUGGACAACAGGUUUAGAUUCCUGUACCGCAUAUAAACAGAACUGUGGGGACGCAUGUGGAAAGCAUAAGCCGGGAAUGGAAAGACCGGUACAAGCGGGGUAGGUGUGUGACAGGCAAAUCCGUCAUAUAAGCCGAAGACGUGAUGUGGAGCGAAAUUUAGUAGUGAAGUAUGUGAGCCAUGUGCCGAGAAAAGCCGCUAUUGUUUUAUAUGUGCCCGUACCGUAAACCGACACAGGUGGAUGAGGAGAGAAUCCUAAGGCCGACGGAAGAAGCAUUGUUAAGGAAUUCGGCAAAAUGACCCCGUAACUUCGGGAGAAGGGGUGCCCACUGAAUGGUGGGCCGCAGAGAAUAGGCUCAAGCAACUGUUUAGCAAAAACACAGGUCUAUGCGAAACCGAAAGGUGAAGUAUAUGGGCUGACGCCUGCCCGGUGCUGGAAGGUUAAGAGGAGAGGUUAGCGCAAGCGAAGCUUUGAAUUUAAGCCCCAGUAAACGGCGGCCGUAACUAUAACGGUCCUAAGGUAGCGAAAUUCCUUGUCGGGUAAGUUC